UACAGAGGGGGCAAGCGUUGUCCGGACUUACUGGGUGUAAAGCGCAUGCAGGUGGCUGUGCAAGUAUGCUGUGAAAGCCCCGUGCUUAACACGGGGAGGCUAGUAUAGACUGCACGGCUCGAGGACUGCAGAGGGUAGGGGAAUUGCUGGUGUAGUGGUGAAAUGCGUAGAGAUCAGCAGGAACACCAAGGCCGAAGGGACCUACCUGGGCAGUAUCUGACACUCAAGUGCGACAGCGUGGGGAGCGAACCGG
Molecule: ribosomal RNA, 253 nt
Filed under: uncultured bacterium
Lineage: Bacteria
Description: partial 16S ribosomal RNA
Rfam family: Bacterial small subunit ribosomal RNA
Source: RNAcentral